This 635-nucleotide ribosomal RNA is filed under the name uncultured bacterium. RNAcentral describes it as "bacterial SSU rRNA". It matches the Rfam family "Bacterial small subunit ribosomal RNA", at positions 38 to 721 of the family's 1533-position model. The record is from RNAcentral.
GGCGGCAUGCUAACACAUGCAAGUCGAACGAGACUUCGGGUCUAGUGGCGCACGGGUGCGUAACGCGUGGGAAUCUGCCCCUUGGUUCGGAAUAACAGUUAGAAAUGACUGCUAAUACCGGAUAAUGACGUAAGUCCAAAGAUUUAUCGCCAAGGGAUGAGCCCGCGUAAGAUUAGCUAGUUGGUGGGGUAAAAGCCUACCAAGGCGACGAUCUUUAGCUGGUCUGAGAGGAUGAUCAGCCACACUGGGACUGAGACACGGCCCAGACUCCUACGGGAGGCAGCAGUGGGGAAUAUUGGACAAUGGGCGAAAGCCUGAUCCAGCAAUGCCGCGUGAGUGAUGAAGGCCUUAGGGUUGUAAAGCUCUUUUACCCGGGAAGAUAAUGACUGUACCGGGAGAAUAAGCCCCGGCUAACUCCGUGCCAGCAGCCGCGGUAAUACGGAGGGGGCUAGCGUUAUUCGGAAUUACUGGGCGUAAAGCGCACGUAGGCGGCUGUUCAAGUCAGAGGUGAAAGCCCGGAGCUCAACUCCGGAACUGCCUUUGAAACUAGAUAGCUUGAAUCACGGAGAGGUAAGUGGAAUUCCGAGUGUAGAGGUGAAAUUCGUAGAUAUUCGGAAGAACACCAGUGGCGAAGG